GUAGCUAUUGCUGUUCCCACUGACGGAGCUAUCGACCUUAGAUCUCGAAGAAAUGCAGGUGCUGAGAAGCCGCCAUUGGAGCCAGCAACCUGGCUCGUCAGACUCUUUAAUACAAUCCUCAGCGAAACGAGGGACGCCAUUGGAGCCACUUUUUUCCUUCCUCUUCUUCUUCUUCUCCUUCUUCUUCAAUUUAUUAGCAUUCCCGCCGCCUAAUACCAUUUCCUCCACUCUUUCUUUCUCUGCAACAAGAACCCUAAUCGGCGAAUCCCACUUCUCAUCCAAACACACAAUUACCACC
RNAcentral lists this long non-coding RNA (298 nucleotides) under Linum usitatissimum (flax). Its description in RNAcentral is "long non-coding RNA (LUSI_LNC001009)". The record is from RNAcentral. Lineage: Eukaryota; Viridiplantae; Streptophyta; Magnoliopsida; Malpighiales; Linaceae.